Molecule: long non-coding RNA, 809 nt
Organism: Phascolarctos cinereus (koala)
Lineage: Eukaryota; Metazoa; Chordata; Mammalia; Diprotodontia; Phascolarctidae
Source: RefSeq, a predicted model, not a curated record
ACCUCUUCAUCAUCUUCACUACUUCCCAGACUUCUCUACAUCAUGUUGCCUGGACUCCAUUCAUCAAACAUAUCUCUCUCCCAUUGAAAAUUUGGACUCCACUCAGGGACAUAUGGCUUCCUCACCUUUUACAGCUCCCCUUUGUAUGCUGUCUUCCCCCAUCAGAAUGUAAUCUCCUUCGAGACAUAAUGGGAGUCUGGCACAGGUAGCUAAGAUGACAUCAUCUAUAUGGAAGAUACUAGAAGAUACUUCUAAGAGAAUUGUGGAGACUCAAGUUUCCAUGGAUACUUUGUUUUGAUCUACCACGUCAUUGAGAAGAACCUUCUUCCAUUAUCUAUAAAGCCAAAUCUGUAGGCAUUUUCAAAUCAGCUUACAUUAGCACCAAAUAUGACUUUGCUGUAUUUGCAUCUGGGAAGUGAAAUGACUCCAUCACUAAUGUCUGGCAAAAUGAUGCAGUAAGAAGGAGACUCUAAGGUCCUCUUUUCCAUAUGGUCUCACCAGGGCAUGAGUGAAGGAAUCACCAUAGAUGUCCCAGUCUCAGAACUGAUGGUAGUUAUCUGCACAUGUGCCAACCACGAAUUACACAGAUAACAAAACUAAGACUAUAUGUACAUGUAGGAACCAUUUUUCAACCAAGAUCUGAAAAACUCUAACUGAUAACAUAAGCAAAUAAAGACCAUGUAGUUUAAAAUGCCCAUUUUGGGCCUAGAGGAAGGCAAAGCAACAUUAAGCAAUAAAAUGUUCAUCCUAAUGAAAUUACUGUGUAAUGAAAUAUACUGGAACUAAAAUAAAUGAUUACUUAAUGGUAA